This 924-nucleotide ribosomal RNA is filed under the name Campylobacter jejuni. Its description in RNAcentral is "partial 23S ribosomal RNA". It matches the Rfam family "Bacterial large subunit ribosomal RNA", at positions 1 to 942 of the family's 2925-position model. The record is from RNAcentral. Lineage: Bacteria; Pseudomonadati; Campylobacterota; Epsilonproteobacteria; Campylobacterales; Campylobacteraceae.
AAAGGUAAGCUACUAAGAGCGAAUGGUGGAUGCCUUGACUGGUAAAGGCGAUGAAGGACGUACUAGACUGCGAUAAGCUACGGGGAGCUGUCAAGAAGCUUUGAUCCGUAGAUUUCCGAAUGGGGCAACCCAAUGUAUAGAGAUAUACAUUACCUAUAUAGGAGCGAACGAGGGGAAUUGAAACAUCUUAGUACCCUCAGGAAAAGAAAUCAAUAGAGAUUGCGUCAGUAGCGGCGAGCGAAAGCGCAAGAGGGCAAACCCAGUGCUUGCACUGGGGGUUGUAGGACUGCAAUGUGCAAGAGGUAAGUUUAGCAGAACAUUCUGGAAAGUAUAACCAUAGAGGGUGAUAGUCCCGUAUGCGAAAAACAAACCUUAGCUAGCAGUAUCCUGAGUAGGGCGGGACACGAGGAAUCCUGUCUGAAUCUGGGUCGACCACGAUCCAACCCUAAAUACUAAUACCAGAUCGAUAGUGCACAAGUACCGUGAGGGAAAGGUGAAAAGAACUGAGGUGAUCAGAGUGAAAUAGAACCUGAAACCAUUUGCUUACAAUCAUUCAGAGCCCUAUGUAGCAAUACAGGGUGAUGGACUGCCUUUUGCAUAAUGAGCCUGCGAGUUGUGGUGUCUGGCAAGGUUAAGCAAACGCGAAGCCGUAGCGAAAGCGAGUCUGAAUAGGGCGCUUAGUCAGAUGCUGCAGACCCGAAACGAAGUGAUCUAUCCAUGAGCAAGUUGAAGCUAGUGUAAGAACUAGUGGAGGACUGAACCCAUAGGCGUUGAAAAGCCCCGGGAUGACUUGUGGAUAGGGGUGAAAGGCCAAUCAAACUUCGUGAUAGCUGGUUCUCUCCGAAAUAUAUUUAGGUAUAGCGUUGUGUCGUAAUAUAAGGGGGUAGAGCACUGAAUGGGCUAGGGCAUACACCAAUGUACCAA